This 73-nucleotide transfer RNA is filed under the name Elusimicrobiota bacterium. RNAcentral's name for it is "Elusimicrobia bacterium (microbial mat metagenome) tRNA-Lys". It matches the Rfam family "tRNA". Rfam says of the family: Transfer RNA (tRNA) molecules are approximately 80 nucleotides in length. The record is from RNAcentral. Lineage: Bacteria; Pseudomonadati; Elusimicrobiota.
GGGCCGUUAGCUCAAUUGGUAGAGCAGGAAACUCUUAAUUUCAAGGUUAUAGGUUCAAGUCCUAUACGGCCCA